This 256-nucleotide ribosomal RNA is filed under the name Streptomyces xinghaiensis. RNAcentral's name for it is "Bacterial large subunit ribosomal RNA". It matches the Rfam family "Bacterial large subunit ribosomal RNA", at positions 473 to 716 of the family's 2925-position model. Lineage: Bacteria; Bacillati; Actinomycetota; Actinomycetes; Kitasatosporales; Streptomycetaceae. The record is from Rfam by way of RNAcentral.
UUCCCUGGUGACCGAUAGCGGAUAGUACCGUGAGGGAAUGGUGAAAAGUACCGCGGGAGCGGAGUGAAAUAGUACCUGAAACCGUGUGCCUACAAGCCGUGGGAGCGUCGCCGUGUUCUUCGGAGCAUGGUCGUGACUGCGUGCCUUUUGAAGAAUGAGCCUGCGAGUUUGCGGUGUGUUGCGAGGUUAACCCGUGUGGGGAAGCCGUAGCGAAAGCGAGUCCGAACAGGGCGAUGUAGUAGCGCGCUCAAGACCC